This 994-nucleotide ribosomal RNA is filed under the name Enterobacteriaceae bacterium CAU0858-1. RNAcentral's name for it is "bacterial SSU rRNA". It matches the Rfam family "Bacterial small subunit ribosomal RNA", at positions 31 to 1009 of the family's 1533-position model. Lineage: Bacteria; Pseudomonadati; Pseudomonadota; Gammaproteobacteria; Enterobacterales; Enterobacteriaceae. The record is from RNAcentral.
GGCCUUUGGGGAUCGGAGCCUACACAUGCAGUCGACGGUAACAGGAAGCAGCUUGCUGCUUCGCUGACGAGUGGCGGACGGGUGAGUAAUGUCUGGGAAACUGCCUGAUGGAGGGGGAUAACUACUGGAAACGGUAGCUAAUACCGCAUAACGUCGCAAGACCAAAGAGGGGGACCUUCGGGCCUCUUGCCAUCGGAUGUGCCCAGAUGGGAUUAGCUAGUAGGUGGGGUAACGGCUCACCUAGGCGACGAUCCCUAGCUGGUCUGAGAGGAUGACCAGCCACACUGGAACUGAGACACGGUCCAGACUCCUACGGGAGGCAGCAGUGGGGAAUAUUGCACAAUGGGCGCAAGCCUGAUGCAGCCAUGCCGCGUGUAUGAAGAAGGCCUUCGGGUUGUAAAGUACUUUCAGCGGGGAGGAAGGGAGAGUAAAGUUAAUACCUUUGCUCAUUGACGUUACCCGCAGAAGAAGCACCCGGCUAACUCCGUGCCAGCAGCCGCGGUUAAUACGGAGGGUGCAAGCGUUAAUCGGAAUUACUGGGCGUAAAGCGCACGCAGGCGGUUUGUUAAGUCAGAUGUGAAAUCCCCGGGCUCAACCUGGGAACUGCAUCUGAUACUGGCAAAGCUUGAGUCUCGUAGAGGGGGGUAGAAUUCCCAGGUGUAGCGGUGAAAUGCGUAGAGAUCUGGAGGAAUACCGGUGGCGAAGGCGSCCCCCUGGACGAAGACUGACGCUCAGGUGCGAAAGCGUGGGGAGCAAACAGGAUUAGAUACCCUGGUAGUCCACGCCGUAAACGAUGUCGACUUGGAGGUUGUGCCCUUGAGGCGUGGCUUCCGGAGCUAACGCGUUAAGUCGACCGCCUGGGGAGUACGGCCGCAAGGUUAAAACUCAAAUGAAUUGACGGGGGCCCGCACAAGCGGUGGAGCAUGUGGUUUAAUUCGAUGCAACGCGAAGAACCUUACCUGGUCUUGACAUCCACRGAACUUUUCAGAGAUGG